AUUGAACGCUGGCGGCAGGCCUAACACAUGCACGUCGAACGAGUGGCGGACGGGUGAGUAAUGUCUGGGAAACUGCCCGAUGGAGGGGGAUAACUACUGGAACCGGUAGCUAAUACCGCAUACCAUCAGAUGUGCCCAGAUGGGAUUAGCUCGUUGGUGGGGUAACGGCUCACCUAGGCGCCGAUCCCUAGCUGGUCUGAGAGGUUGACCAGCCAAACUGGAACUGAGAAACGGUACCGAAUCCUACGGGAGGCAGCAGUGGGGAAUAUUGCACAAUGGGCGCAAGCCUGAUGCAGCCAUGCCGCGUGUAUGAAGAAGGCCUUCGGUUUGGAAAGUACUUUCAGCGGGGAGGCGUUACCCGCAGAAGAAGCACCGGCUAACUCCGUGCCAGCAGCCGCGGUAAUAC
This 406-nucleotide ribosomal RNA is filed under the name uncultured bacterium. RNAcentral describes it as "partial 16S ribosomal RNA". It matches the Rfam family "Bacterial small subunit ribosomal RNA", at positions 30 to 526 of the family's 1533-position model. The record is from RNAcentral.